This 373-nucleotide ribosomal RNA is filed under the name uncultured organism. RNAcentral describes it as "partial 16S ribosomal RNA". It matches the Rfam family "Bacterial small subunit ribosomal RNA", at positions 527 to 896 of the family's 1533-position model. The record is from RNAcentral.
GUAGGUGGCAAGCGUUGUCCGGAAUUAUUGGGCGUAAAGCGCGCGCAGGUGGGUUCUUUAAGUCUGAUGUGAAAGCCCCCGGGCUCAACCGGGGAGGGUCAUUGGAAACUGGGGAACUUGAGUGCAGGAGAGGAAAGUGGAAUUCCACGUGUAGCGGUGAAGUGCGUAGAUAUGUGGAGGAACACCAGUGGCGAAGGCGACUUUCUGGCCUGUAACUGACACUGAGGCGCGAAAGCGUGGGGAGCAAACAGGAUUAGAUACCCUGGUAGUCCACGCCGUAAACGAUGAGUGCUAAGUGUUGGGGGGUUUCCGCCCCUCAGUGCUGCAGCUAACGCAUUAAGCACUCCGCCUGGGGAGUACGGUCGCAAGACUG